GAACCCUAUGGUUGGAACAAUGGGAGACAUAGGGUGCGUUCAUAAAUUCACUCUGGCUAUCUACUCCGAUUUCAGAGCACUCUCGCCAGACCACACUAUAACUGCUGAAUUUACGAAUGCUCAACACCAGUUGAAUAUGGCCGGUGUCAGUAAACGUUGGCAAAAUGCGUAAUUAUAUUGUUGCCAAUAGCACAGUUACAGUCACCAACGCUCUGGAUAACACGAAAACAGCCUAAUCAGCUCUACUUGGCAGGGAGACAUGCAGUACCAGCAAAUCUUCUGCAAGAGAACCAAACAGUUGGUGGUUAUGAAGCCCUACACCACUUUCGGCAGUCUUAUCCAGCUGGCUGUUCAUCACAGUUGUGUAGUUGCACCCUGACAGUGGCAAGUGGCAAGCAGGUCAUCCUGAUUGGUAUAAUUGGUAAGUGUGUGUUUUUUAAGGACUUUACUUCUAUUCACGUUUUUAAAGAAUGUAAUUAAUUACUUCCUAAUAAUUACUCCUGAUUCAGGGUGCUACAACCUGUCCCUGCUCUGUCCCUGCUCUGAACUGCUCCGGGUGGCACACCCUGAUCUGUUUCACCUGUCUUUGUGCUUGUCUCCACCCCCCUCCAGGUGUCACCCAUCUUCCCCAUUAUCCCCAGUGUAUUUAUACCUGUAUUCUCGGUUUGUUUGUUGCCAGUUCAUUUUGUUCGUCAAGCUUACCAGCGGUUUCCCCCUUGCGCCUGUCUUUUUCUAGUUCCUGUUUCCUGGUUUUGACCAUUCUGCCUUCCCUGAGCCUGCCUGCCAUUCUGUACCUUGUAACACCAGCCUUGAUUUUUGACCUCUCCCUGCGCUGACCCCGAGACUGCCAGCCGUUCUGUACUGUAUGGACUCUGAUCUGGAUUACUGACCUCUGCCUGCCCUUGACCUGUCGUUUUGCCUGCCCCCUGUUCUAGUAAACUUGUGUUACUUUGACACUGUUUGCAUCUGGGUCUUCUCCUGAAACAUGUUACCCGGGUGUCGGAGACAUUGGACAGUGGGGCUGGAUUAAUUUUGUAAAGAGUGGCUACCGGCCAGGAUCCGUGACUCACCAGACCAUCUUCACAGUGGACCACUUCAAGUCUUUUGAAGACAUGAAGGUGUUGGCCCCAGGAUGCUCCUGUCAAGCCUUUGUGGGAAUGCUUGACGGAAGAACAAAGCACUUUGACAGGUGGAAAGAUAUGUGGCGACACGUUCCAGAAAGCAUUCCUCGAGUGGACAUACGGGCGGUUUGAAAUAGACAAGCUUUGUGGAAGCGAUCUCCUACAUUGUCCUGAUGCAUGCUAUAUCAGUGGAUGGGAAUCGCAAGCAAUACUGCUUUCGGAAAGCCUCAGGACACACAGAGGUUGGAGCAACAUGGUCAGAUGUUUGGGAUUUAAACCAGCAACCCACCUCUCUAGGCUAUGUGAAUGUUGAGAAGGGCUUCUAUGAUGUCUUCCUGGAGAAACAAGAUGAUGUGUCAUCCUUCAUCAAACAUGUCCAUACAAAGACCAAUCAUUCUCAGGUUCUAUAACACUGCUUAAUGUCACCCAGUUUAGAGCUUGUUUCUUUUAAAGUUGAUAUCUGCACUUCACUGUGAUUUUCAUGUUGUAGACACCAGGCAAAGGAGUGUGUGGCACAUCAGAGUGGACAGCGGCCAAAGACGUCAGGAAAAUUGUCUGCCAAAGUAGAGGAGGGCCUUGAGAUAGCAGUUUGCCGACACAGCGUGCUCCUCAAGGCCCUCAACAUGUACAGAAGCAAGAUAUAUGCCAAUGUACUUGCAGAAGAAGCUGUCUUCUGCUGGCACGGUGGGUUUUUUCUGCUGCACUGUUGCAUGCAAAUACUGGCCACAUUUGAAGAUAGUUGUGCAGGCGUACCAAGAGUUGGAGGAGCUUCUAAAAAACCACCCUCUCCUCUCCACUAUUCAUGCUAAGGCACAUGAAUGGUCUUGUGAGUAUAGCACAAAUGGAGAGGCCGCAAUCAGCCUGGUGCCGGCAACACAACCGGAGAGAAGUCGGCAGGUGAAUAGUUUUAUAUCCAGAGUUGCUGUCACAACAAAUUACAUGUCCAAGACUGGUAAUUGUAUUAUGAUAACAUAACUAAUGCUGAAUAAGGUUUAGGAUUGCAACAUAAUUCCCUUAUUGUUGAACUAUUAAGUGGUCCUUUAUAUUUGAGCUCCAACACACUUCAAUGAAUAAGAUAAACCUAAUUGCCCCUCCUGGACUGUCACCUUGCCACGGUGGAGAGGCUUGCAUACUCCAAUGACCCUGAGCGCUAAGCCGGAUGGGGUUUAUACUCCCGGCAGGUGCAACCAAGCCGGCCAUGUCGAAUGGUAAGAAGCAGUCCAUGGUCCUCCAUGUGGGGCUAACUACCCCAUCCCGGAAAAAAAACAGAAACAUUGCCGAAUGGAAACCAAAUAAAUUGUUCCAAAGCAGGACAUUUUUUUGGACACAUGUUACUGCUGAAGGGAGAAGCAGACAGUGAAUGACAUUUACUUGUUGGGCAUAACUGAUGAUGCUAUGAUAUUAUUACGGACAGAGAUUAUCACACUACUGCCAAUGGGCUGGAAUAAGAGGAAGUUCACCAACAUGGAUCGCAUGUAACACUCGUCUGAAGAAGUGGACCAUAAUCAUAUUCUUUAAUGAUAACCACAAAAAGAAGAGAGAGAGAGAGAGAGAACCAACGAAACGUACAGCCUUGAAGGGCUCAACAGCAACAAUACAAGGACAAGAUCCCACAACAUAGGUGGGGGGAAAAGAAUGUCAAAAGACUGGAGGAGACCAGCCUCGCAAAAAGCGGGAAGAGCUAGACAUCAACACCGCUGUGCUACAGAAGUGGAUUACUGAGGUCCAGCAGUGGCCUGAUGACACACUUCAGGAUCGUCAGACGGGUCAUCUCCAGAAGAAGCUUGAAGGGCUUUACCACAGUGUGAAAGAGGAAACUACUUCUACCAUUUGACAGCUCACAGGCAACUGCCAUCAAAAGGCAAUCUUCAACAGACUGUUGUUAGUGAACAGACUGCAGGAGGAAGAGAGGAUCCUGGUCCGGGAGAUGAAGAGGCACUGGGGGAGCCUACAAAGAGCAGUGGGAACUGUGGCAGCACUGUACCUACAAGAUCAGAGUAAUGCAGUGGAGUUUUCAGAGGGAGGGAAGAAUGGCCUUCUCUGCCACCUGAAGAGAAGAUUGAGUGAACUGACACAAGACCAAGUUGACACCAGGAAUACCUACCACAAGCUGAUUCUGGGAGAAGGGGAUAUUUUUUUAUGACUGAUGUAGGUGAGAACUCCGAUGAAGAUAGAAGUUCUAUUGCUGAGAGCUCAGAUGACAACUGCUAUGCUUUCUGAAAUCCUACACCACCCCUGCCUCUUUCUCUCGGUCUCGCUUUCUCCCGCAGGAGAGGGAGAAGGCCGCCAACCACCUCCCUUAGGAGCAGCCUGGUCUCCUGACGUUGACCCCUCACCUUCUGAACCCAUCCAGGGAACUGUAAUUUGCCUGAUGAUGUGCUAGUGGAGAAGGAAUGUGUCAUGUUUCCUCUCCUCACCACCUCUCUUCCGGUCCUAGACUAUGGCAACAUCAUCUGCAACUCAUACUGUUGGUUGAGGACCUCUUACUGAGGAAUGUGGUUCUUCAUUAUUAUUUAUUUGUAUUUACGUCAAGUAUUUUCUAUGCUGCCAUGAUUGGGGUUUUUGUGAGUUGCAAAAGAGUCCUUGAUCUCAAUGGGACUGCUAAAAUAAAUAAAGGUCUUAACAAAUCAAUAAAUGCA
Molecule: long non-coding RNA, 3760 nt
Organism: Oncorhynchus kisutch (coho salmon)
Lineage: Eukaryota; Metazoa; Chordata; Actinopteri; Salmoniformes; Salmonidae
Exons: 11
Source: RefSeq, a predicted model, not a curated record